This 301-nucleotide unclassified non-coding RNA is filed under the name fungal sp. Its description in RNAcentral is "partial contains 5.8S ribosomal RNA, internal transcribed spacer 2, and large subunit ribosomal RNA". The stretch from base 1 to 71 matches the Rfam family "5.8S ribosomal RNA", at positions 84 to 154 of the family's 154-position model. Lineage: Eukaryota; Fungi. The record is from RNAcentral.
GUGAGUCAUCGAAUCUUUGAACGCACAUUGCGCCCGCCAGUAUUCUGGCGGGCAUGCCUGUUCGAGCGUCAUUUCAACCCUCAAACCCCCGGGUUUGGUGUUGGAGAUCGACAUGAAGCCCUUCUGGGUGUGAAGUCGUCUCCCAAAUAUAGUGGCGGUCUCGCUGUAGCUUCCUAUGCGUAGUAGCACACCUCGCACUGGAAAGCAGCAAGCCCACGCCGUUAAACCCCCCACUUUCUGAGUUUGACCUCGAAUCAGGUAGGAUUACCCGCUGAACUUAAGCAUAUCAAUAAGCGGAGGA